RNAcentral lists this ribosomal RNA (537 nucleotides) under Melitaea menetriesi centralasiae. RNAcentral's name for it is "Mellicta menetriesi centralasiae partial 16S ribosomal RNA". The stretch from base 400 to 537 matches the Rfam family "Bacterial large subunit ribosomal RNA", at positions 2473 to 2611 of the family's 2925-position model. The record is from RNAcentral. Lineage: Eukaryota; Metazoa; Arthropoda; Insecta; Lepidoptera; Nymphalidae.
UCAAAAACAUGUCUUUUUGAAAAUAAUUUAAAGUCUAAUCUGCCCACUGAUAAAAUUAUUAAAGGGCUGCAGUAUAUUGACUGUACAAAGGUAGCAUAAUCAUUAGUCUUUUAAUUGAAGACUUGUAUGAAAGAUUUGAUGAGAUAUAGACUGUCUCUAAUUUAUUAAUAAAAAUUAAUUUUUUGGUUAAAAAGCUAAAAUAAUAUUAAAAGACGAGAAGACCCUAUAAAGUUUUAUAAUUUAUUUAUUUAAUAUUAAUUAUAUAAUUAAAUAUAAUAAAUAAUUAAAAUUAUUUUAUUGGGGUGAUAGAAAAAUUUGAUUAACUUUUUUUAAAAAAUAAACAUUAAUAAGUGAAAUAAUGAUCCAUUUUUAAUGAUUAAAAGAAAAAAUUACUUUAGGGAUAACAGCGUAAUAUUUUUUUUUAGUACAAAUAAAAAAAAAAGUUUGCGACCUCGAUGUUGGAUUAAGAUAAAAUUUAAAUGCAAAAGUUUAAAAUUUUGAUCUGUUCGAUCAUUAAAAUCUUACAUGAUCUGAGCU